RNAcentral lists this long non-coding RNA (212 nucleotides) under Musa acuminata (dwarf banana). RNAcentral's name for it is "long non-coding RNA (MACU_LNC004006)". Lineage: Eukaryota; Viridiplantae; Streptophyta; Magnoliopsida; Zingiberales; Musaceae. The record is from RNAcentral.
UUGUUUAGAAGUAGGAGUCUUAAGUAAGAGUCCUAUUAGGAGUUAGGGUUUAGAAGCCCUAUAAAUAGUCAUGUAUUCCACCUCUUUUCAUAAGUAAUAGAUGAAUCUUUUCUGUAGCCUUUGAGCAGCAACUCCAAGGGAGGAACCCCUAUAGAGUUCCAAGGAGGCCGAUCCCCUAAAGAGAUCAACCCCAAGUUUAGAAUCUACAAGGG